GGUCUUUUGAUAAAAUUAUAAGAUUAGGCCUGCUCUAUGAUUUUAGAUUAAAUGGCUGCAGUAUUUUGACUGUACAAAGGUAGCAUAAUCAUUUGUCUUUUAAUUGAGGACUGGGAUGAAAGGUUUGAUGAAAAAUAUUCUUUCUUUAUUUUCAAUAUUGAAAUUGACUUUUAGGUCAAAAGGCCUAAAUUAACUUAAGGGACGAGAAGACCCUAUAGAACUUUAUAUUGAAAAUAUAAAUUAAGAUUUGAUGAUAACUUUAAUUUAUAUUUUAUCAAUAUUUUGUUGGGGUGACAAAAAAAAUAAAAUAACUUUUUUUAUAAUUAACAUGGAUAAAUGUUUAAUUGAUCCAGAAUAUUCUGAAUAAAGAUAAGUUACCUUAGGGAUAACAGCGUAAUUACUUUGAAGAGUUCAAAUCGAUAAAGUAGUUUGCGACCUCGAUGUUGGAUUAAAAUUAAUAUUUGAUGUAGCAGUUUUAUUAUUAAGUCUGUUCGACUUUUAAAUUUUUACA
Molecule: ribosomal RNA, 511 nt
Filed under: Fulvius sp. WCW-2003
Lineage: Eukaryota; Metazoa; Arthropoda; Insecta; Hemiptera; Miridae
Description: partial 16S ribosomal RNA
Rfam family: Bacterial large subunit ribosomal RNA
Source: RNAcentral